This is a long non-coding RNA of Neofelis nebulosa (Clouded leopard), 9664 nucleotides long. RefSeq lists it as uncharacterized. Lineage: Eukaryota; Metazoa; Chordata; Mammalia; Carnivora; Felidae. The transcript has 3 exons. The record is from RefSeq and is a predicted model, not a curated record.
UUUAAGAAUUCAGUCAUGGAAGGUGAGCCAUCUUUCCACUGAGUGUGUGAUUCUAAAGGCCUUUCUUGGUAUUUAACUACAGGGUAAGACAACAGCUAAACAUGUUAAGGCCCUAAUGAUGAGCCUGGUAGGCUAGGUUAUCGAACUGUGAGAGAGGAUUCAGAUCGUGCUUGCUCCCCAAAAACAUGCUCGAUGGAGGCAGAUCUGGAGACUCUGAUAGGAACCCUAGGCUGCCACACUCAAAACCUCCAGCGUCUUUAGCAGGGGAGCCGCGAAGGGUCUCAGAGCCUGCUCCAAUCACAGCCCUGCUAAGAGGUGAAGUUUCUCAGAGCGAGUGGUCACAGCCACCAUGUCACCCGUCCCCGUUACUAUUGUCCCAUUGCGCUAACACGUCACAGGCUGAGUGGGAACCUAACUUAGGCUCUUCAGUGACCUUGUUCAAAGUGUUUUUGGGUCAAUCACACUGCUCUCUCAACAAGACAGAUUUGGGGCUGAAAGACCAAGCCAGUCAGGAAAUGGACACGAAGAUCCCAGGUCAACUAGGGGCAAGAGAGGUCUUGAAAAGCCAAGGACAAGUAAAAUUACGAGAGAGGAAAGACUAUGAGGAAACAGGCAGUGAGUGGACGGCGAAAGGAGAAGAAAGGAGCAGAUGUGCUGAGCAGAGUGGGUAAGUCCGGAGAAAUACAGACUGAGGUUCUGAUGUCUCCCAGUUGUGGUUCUUGGAGGCGUCCGCAUGUGUGUUUGCUUCGUGUCCCCGUGUUCCCUGUGACUCCUGUGGAUUCUCGCGUUGCCCACCUGCAGGUACUAGUCUGUGUGUCCUCGCAGUCAAAAGACCCGGCCCUGGACGCUGACAGUUUGAGAACCCCCUUCGACAGGCAGUGGGACCUUUACUCUCACCCCGCUGUUCCGAAUCUGCCCACCUCAUGGGAACCCUGUCAGACACUAGCAUGUCUGGGACUGUCCAGGGCUUGAGGCUUUAAAGUUCACCAGCAGGGCCUGGACCUCUUCACACUCAAACCCGGGAGGCCUGGAGAUCAUCCUUUAGCUCCAGGAGGGCUCGUCCGGUGCUCUCAAGUCAUGAAUGGUUAUUUACCAGCGGGGCUGGGGAGCCGGUCUCCUACAUGUCCCCUCACACCCCUGGAACUGCCACAGUGACAGUGCCACUCAUUCUCAGUCCCAUUUUUUUUUAAUCUUUAUUUAUUUAUUUUGAGAGAGAGGCAGAGGGAGUGAGCUGAGGAGGGAUACAGAACCCGAAGCAGCUCCAGGCUCUGAGCUGUCAGCACAGAGCCCAUGUGGGGCUUGAAGUCAGCACGUGAUCAUGAUCUGAGCCACCAACUGGGCCACCCAGCCCCAGUCCCAUUCUUUGGAAACAAAAGAGCAAAAGAACAAAAGUAACUCAAAGCAGCUGGUGAAAUAUAAGAGCAUGGAAAGUUUCAAAUCCCAGAGCAAAUGUGGAUUCAUCAGGGAUCAUUUGCCAGAGACCUGACUCAAUGGCAAAAGACCUUCUCACCAUUUCUCACAUCCCUUCCUGGGUUUCAUACAGAGUGGAUAAAGAACGACUAAGCUCCGAACAAGUCUCCCAAAGAGGAGACAAUCCCGUAAACCUUCCCAGGAUCUCUGCGCCACCCGCCGAGACUGAUGCGCGAGAGAUGGCUGUUACCAAGAUUAUUCCCAAACAUCCUUUAGCUUGCUGGAGACCACAAAGAUCAGUCCUGCCUGAGAGGCCACCGGUGUGCAUCUGACAAAAGAAUAAGAUGAUGGAAAAAUAUGGCCAUGUCCUUGAAGUGGGGGCUGCCGAUGGAAGAAAAGCAGUAGAUGGGCAGAAGACAAGGUCAAAACCCAGGCCGGGCUGACGCCGUCUGGAAGACCAAAAGCCAGCUGCCUUAUCGACGAAUUUAAUGAGCACCUAUUAUGUGUGGGGACAUUGCCAAAUGCUGCAGGAAUCCCUUCCCGAGGGUAUUUACAGUCUAUUGAGGAGACAAGACACGUGUAGACCAAAUGAUUUAAUUAUCAUCUCAGGUGGGUGUUUGGUUGAUCUCUGGAGUCCCUCUUGUUCUUCCCCAGUCAGAGAACACUAUGAUUUUAUUUUUUCCCCCACUUUUAGAACACUUUUUCUACAUAUGUAAGUAUAUGCUGAUUUGUUUAUCUGUUUCUAGUCUGUCUUCUCAUACCGAGCUGUUAGAGCAAGAAGAGAAGGGGCUGUGUGUGUUUUGGUAUUGCUGUAUCUCCAGAAGCUAACACAGUGCCUGGUGCGUAGUAGGUGCUCAGUAAAUGUUUCUUUAAUGAAUCCAUGAACGAACCAAUGAAUGAGAGAUUGGCUGGGAAACUCUCAGGUGUCAGGAGAACACAUUGCAGGCACAGCUAGAAAGAAAGCUGGUUAAAGCGACUUUUUUUUUUAAUGUUUAUUUUAGUUUUGAGAGAGAGACAGACAGAUGGACCAUGAGUGGGGGAGGGGUAGAGAGAGAGGGAGACACAGAAUCUGAAGCAGGCUCCAGGCUCCGAGCUGUCAGCACAGAGCCCGAUGCGGGGCUUGAACCCCCGAACCACGAGAUCAUGACCUGAGCUGAAGUCAGAUGCUUGACCGACUGAGCCCCCCAGGUACCCCGUUUCGGGGUCUUUAUUACUAGUUACAGAUAAUUCUCAGACUCUGAAAAUGUGAUUGCUCAAAUUUCACUUUAAAUAUAGUCGGUACGAGUUGAUAUUUAUAGAAGUUUUACUUCCCUCUAUGCUGCAAAAAGCCUCCAGCCUGUUAGAAUUCUCUAUCUGCGUUCUUUGCCUCCACAAGGGCAAUGAAUGACAGGACCAACAACAAUGGUAACAUGGCCGCUGUUUAGGUAGCACUUCCUGUAUGGCGGGCACAGGGCUGACUGGUCCUCAUGAGGACACUGCAGCAUGAGAGGUGUAUUACCUAGAGUGGGGUAACUUAUAUUUUGCCACUGUGGCAUCCAUGUAGUUUGGUGGUCAAGGUUAUCUCCUGAACACAGUUAUUUGGGGCUUCAGGCUCCUUUCAUAUAGAAAGCCAGUAGGGCAUCAGAAUCCUCCUUUUGGCCCCUGUGAAUCUGGUGGUAGUUGAUAAGAGAAAGGGGAGGGAAUGUGAGGAUCAGGCAGAAGGGUUUAGAUUCCAAGUCGAGAAGUGGUCUAUUUCCUCCCUGUGCUCAGAUUCCAUCGGCCAGGUGUUGAUUCCAUGACCCCAUCGAAAGGCAAGGGGGCUGGGAUGCAUGGUCUUGGCAAAUGCCCAGGAAGAAGAGGCAAUGGUGUCGGUGAGCAGCUAGUUUCUGUCUCUCAAAGGUUAAGUGACUCAUAAGAUAAUAAAUAUUACAGCUCGGGGACCCAAACCCACGUCAGUUGCAAGCUGUUAACUACACACUCCCUUUCUUCCCUUCAUCUGUCAGUUCAUUGUCAGUGUUUGCUUGUUUUGUGUCGAAUGUAUAGUGUACCACAGCCGGGCCAUGAAGGGAAGGUUCUGGUCUGCUCUUUGUCAGGAGGACUCACCACCUGAUCAAGGGCUGGGCUGAAAGUGGAUUAUUUGAAGGGGCAGGAAGAUGGAUGGCUGUGAUACUUCCUCUGUGAAACCAUAUAGCCUCCGUUUUCAUGUCAGCAGCUCGGGGAUGCUGUUCCUGCUGAACUAAUUCCCGCCAGAUAUAGUGAGGCCACGUUAGACCAAGGACAUCGGACCCUUCUCUGUGGCCGGGCUGCUCACGGACCCUUGGAUCUCCCAUUACUAAACCUGCGUAAUGGGCAUAACUUCAUUUUACCCAGUCCACCGUGCAAGAUAUGCACCUUUAAGUAUUUCUUUAACUCAAGUUGUCAUACUUCAUUAAUUCCAAUGCAUGCCUUUUCAUGCGUUAACGUCUCAGAAAUCAGGAUCUUCUCACUGAUGGCAUCUUUGAAUUGCUGUUUCCCGGGUGGCAGGGUGGACGGAAUGGCCCGUGCAUGUCUGAACUUGUUCACAGGCAUUCCUAUGACCGUCCCUUCUGUUGAAGUCUGUGCAUUGUUGGUAGGACCCAAGUUGAGUUUAGUUGCUGUUUGAACUGUUUUCAAAAAGAUCAUCCCAAGUUUCAGGUUUGAGAUGAAAAGUUAUCGUUACCUUUCAACAGAAAGGUUUGGAAACAGAGCAGUGGGGUGCAGAUAUGGUAUUAGUGAAGCAGGUAUUUGUGUUGGGGGGUUCGCUGAAAAGCAACAACCUCAUACAAGGUAAUAGACGUAGAUUACUACAAGCGUUUGAAACUGUGGUCAUUUUGUUACUGAGUUGUGUACAAAGGCAAUGCCUGUUUGCACACGUCAAGCAAGCAAGCACCCACAUCAGACCUUUUAGAAUGGAUGGCAGCAUCUCGGAAGAAAACCUGGAGCCAACAGUGGGGACACUUGUAAGAAAUGUUUCAUCAUCAAUACAGAGGACAGCGCUGUGCAGAAAAAUAUGAACAUUGAUUCCGAAUGCGUAAACUCUGAAUGCGAAGAUAACUUCGGGGAUUUCUUAACUAAUUUAUUUUCUUUUUUGUAUAUGCAUAAGUGUGAUGUAUAAUAAAAGCCUCUGACCCAAUAAGUCUAGAAAAGCUUUUUCAGCAAGCAUAAAAUACAGAUUUUAAGUGAUGAGAAAGCAUUGUUUCAUAGAUUAAUUGGCGUCUUUCUUUCUUAGUGGUACAUAAAUUAAUGAUGCAUUUUACAAUCGAUGGCUUCUGAGUAUCAAUGAAAUAGCUACUUUCUCAUUUGAGUUCCCAUUCCUUUGGGUAUUAGAAAUUAAAUUUCCGUCAGUUCAGCAGCACCCCUCCCCAUGAUUACAUUGCAUUCCUGGGGGCUUACCCACAGCUACCAUUUAGACUGAGGACACUGUGUUUGUUGGGCAUGAGUUUCUCUCUGUGCUGGCAGCCACCGAGAUGGCCAUGUCUGAUGCCACACAGAUCGCUGCUGGGUCCUUUUUCUGUUCUCAUCUCAGGCCUCUUUCAGAGUUGGGGGGAUCUUUCUGCUAGUUCAAGUGGGCUUGGGGUCCACCUCCCUGGCAGCGAAGAUGCUGAGCUGGUGAGGCCCUGGGCCCCUCGGUGGGCUCUCUGGAGCAGGAAGGGCAGUUUGCAUCCUCUUGGGCACUGGGUGGAAUUCACUCUUCCCACUGCUCUUAGGCAUGUAGGAUCCAGCUUCCCUUUGCCAUCUCUUUGGAACGGGGAGACCUAGACCCCGCCAUGUUUCCACUCUGGCAUCUUGUGGCCUCCCUGGCUCCACCUGGGGAAGGGGUACGCGUGUCCUCCGGCCUGUGUGGGGUUUCUGGUUGUUCCUCUCCCAUCUCUGUACGAUGAGGGGAGGGGGCUGUGCUGCAGGACCCCCUGUUGAGGUCCCUCCUGGCCUCCUCUCCAGCCUGCCCUGUCCUCCUGGUCUGGGCAAUGCCUUCUAACCUGGAGGGCCAGAGAGCCUGUCUCUUACUCCCCUCCCCAAGUUUUGCAGCUCCUCAGAGGCUUUGGGUUCUAAAACUCAAGCCAAGGACAGACUCGUGGUUCCCCUACCGUCUGGACGAGUGCUUCAGAGCACAAAGCUGACUAAAUGGAAGAAAGAUCUGGAAGAAAGAAACACAAGAAAAUCACAUUGGCUCACAUUUCAAAAUAUCACCCCAAUGCAGGUUCUCACCGUGGUUCCCCUUUCCCCUUUAUUUUAAUGUGUUUGUGUGGGUCCAUUUCUCACAUUGUCGGUUUUCCACCCUAUUUUGUAGUAGCCUGGGGCCCCGUUCCAACUACGAUGCCUCAGAUUGACUGUUUCUCAUUACCUCGGAAACCGGGGUGAAGGGACAACCAUGUUCUUCCUUCACCUCCUCCUCCUUCAAUUGUUAUCAUAUGAAGUUUAUAAUCUUUGUUCCAUCAUAGAGAAUCCGUAACAUGAGACCAAGUAGAAGGAAGGAAAGGAAAUCGUGCAUCACCUCACUGUGCUAAGACAUCCACUGGUGGGUGACAUUUUGUUCUUUCUCAAGUUGGUUCUUCGUGCUUACAUAGCUUUUGUGUAUUUUUAUAUAGCUGACAUUGCAUCAGCCAUAAAAGCGAAUAUCCUGCUUCGUUCAUUCAACACUGUGGCUGAGUAUGUUUCCUUAUUAUCCUCAAGUCUUCAGAACCUUUAGUUCAAUGUGGCCGUUUAUGCAACCAUCUCCCUUGCGUUGAGCACUUGGCGUAUUCCCUUCGUCAUAAAUAAACGAUAGCAUUGUGAUGACAUUCUUGUGCAUGAAAGUUGCCCCGCCAUUUCUGACUAUUGUCUUGAGAUAGACUCCCAGGAUCGGAAUCGCUUGUAAGACUGCCGUCUUAAAAACAAGCCAUUUCCCUACCCUCUCUGUGACGUCUUCUCUGCCCAUUUAUCAGUUGUUACAGUAACGCUUAUCUGCGGGUAGCGCGUACUGUUUGGCUGGGAGUUUUCUACAAGCUGGCGUCCUUACAACAAUUUGGCAUUUAUCUAUAGGAGGUCACGUCCGGUACCUCCACGUACAAAGUCUGACUCGGUUACUUGGAAAGUUUCAUCAUUUUUUAGCCAAAGAUGUUGACAGGCAGCCUGCGGCAUUAGACCUGGAGCGUCACGUUGAACAUGAAAAUGACUCUGAACGUGAUGUGGCCGAUUUCGUUCUAAACAAUCAUCCAACGCUGAUCCGUAAAAAGCACUGUCCCCUCCAAGGAGCCACUGUGGAUGGCCGAGCACUUAUUCCAAAGAUGUAUCAGGGGUGACUUUCUGAUGUGACUAGUCGGUAGCCGAGUGUAUGAAGACAGUUCUCCAGGAGAAAAGAAUUACGCUGUAACCCACAGCAGCAUCUUUGGGACCGAAACAUCAGCCAUGUUGACACCAGGUUGAGGACGUAUAUGCUCUGAAGCAUUUAACCUCGGCUCAUUACUUACUAGUGAUAUCAUUUAAAUUAAAAUAGUCACUUUUUUUUUUUUUUUAAGUAUGAGAUCAGGGGCGCCUGGGUGGCUCAGUCAGUUAAGCGUCUGAGUCAGCUCAGGUCAUGAUCUCGCAGUUCGUGAGUUCGAGGUCCACAUGGGGCUCUGUGCUGACAGCUCGGAGCCUGGAGCCUGCUUCGGAUUCUGUGUCUCCCUCUGUCUCUCUCUCUCUGCCCCUCCCCUGCUUGCACUCUGGCUCUCUCUCUCAAAAAUAAAUAAACAUAAAAAAAAAAAAAGUCUGAGAUCAGGAAGAAGAAUAACAUGUACGUAUUGCAAGUUCCUGGGCUUGAUUAAUUUUAACACUCCAGGGAGGACCUUGCCUCUUUUAAAACAAUGCCAUCUUAUCCAUUUAAAAUAAUACAGAUGCAUCCCAGGGAAUUGGGGAAACCCAGGAACUUUGUCUCUCAGAGAUGUUCCCUCAUAAUAUCUGAUUGGGUUCCCUGGAAACAGAGUCCGAGAUAAAAGUUGCAUGCGGAGUGUAUCUUGGGGAGACUCCCCUGGACGAAAGGGAGGGAGAAGCUCGCAGAGGGAGACUCUGGUUCCAAAUGUGGCUCCCACUGACCGGGGCUGAGCGGGCCUGGCCUUCCAGAAUGCUUCCAAAGGAAGGUAAGUGGAUGGGCCUUUGUGGCCCUGCCUCAGCAAGUCACUGCUCCCCCCUCCCUCCCCCCCGCUGCCCCGCCCCGGAGGGGCUAAUUUUGGAUGCGUCUACUUCCUGGGGCCCAGGACAAUUCCCAGUGAGGGGUGCAGCUGUGAGCUAUCAGCAGUGACAUCCCAGCAGCCGGGGAGGGAUCAGGGCUCCAGAGGAGGGACUUGGGUGAAGACACAUGAUGUACCACAUUGCAUCCACAUUGGGAUCCCCCCCACCCCCCACAUCACAUACAACUUCAAGCCCACUUUUUUGCUGAACGUUCUUUGGUGAAUUGUCCCCAUCUCGUGAACCUUUCUUUGAAAACAUUUUAAGUAGAUGCCUAUUUGAUUGUGUGGAAAUAUCGUCUAUGUAACCAUUCUCUCAUUGUGGGACAGCUCAUUUUUAACACAUUUUCCCCGUGAGAGACAAUGUUGCCACGGCCACAUUUGUGUCUCGGCGAUGGACACGGUAACAAUAAAAAGAGUCCACACUUAAUUGACUGCUUAUUGCUGACCGGAUCAGGCUAAUAUUUUUCUUGCCUUCCGUGUGGAGUUUUCAUGAAAAAUAAACGAGAAGAUGUAUAUAAAUAAAGAUGUUACAUUUAAUAACUCAGUCGUCUUCACACCUCCGUGAUGCAGAGCCAGUUAUCCCCAUUUUGCAGGCGAGGAACCCAAGGUCCAGAGAGGUUGAGUCCCCCUUGCAAAGUUGCACAGCUGGUGAAAUACGGACACUCUAAAUCCAGAGGUCAAACAAUACACUGUACUGCUUAACCUGCUUUCCUGAAGUUCAUAUCCUUAGAAGGAAAAUUCCGAGGUCAAAGGGCUUGAUUUAUUUUAGAACUCACGAUAAGAAUUGCCAGACGGUUUUCCAGAAGCAGUGAGUACUUGCGCUAGCAGAGGAAGUGGGUUUAUUUCAGCGCAGUCAACCCCGAAAACCCUGAAUCCUUAGAACCAUGAUACACGACUAGUCCUCUAUUUCCUUGUCUUCCAUCAGGCAUUGUGAACAUCGGUGGUUCUUUAAAAAAAAUUUUUUUUUAAUUUUUAAAAAAUGUUUAUUUUUGACAGAGAGAGUGAGGGACAGAGCGUGAGCUGGGGAGGGGCAGAGAGAGGGAGACACAGAAUCCGCAGCAGGGUCCAGGCUCCGAGCUGCCAGCACAGAGCCCGACGGGUCUCAAACCCACGAGCCACGAGAUCCUGACCUGAGCCAAAGUCACAUGCUUAACCCACUGAGCCAGCCAGGCGCCCCUGAACGUCGGUGGUCCUUAAGCAGAAGGUUUUCUUUUUGUUUUAGCACGCACAACUUUUUCAGGAUCAUCUUGUAAGGGUUGACUCCAUUGUGCCGCCUACAUUUCCAAGAAGAAUUUUUCGUUUGCAGAAUGAAUGCGUGAAUGAGGGCGGGGAGAGAACGUGAACCCGCAACCCCUCGCUGGGAGUGAAGCAGGUGAAUGGAAACCCCGGAGAAGACCGUCCUCCAGAAACAGCGCGAGUAGUUUUCGAUAAUGGAAAGGUUUCCCAAAAAUUCUUUGCCAGGGUCUUUUUCUGAGUCUCCGUUGAACUGCUUAUUUAAUAAGCACUGUCCACCCUUUACGAGCUGGACUCUAUCAUGUGCUUGGAAACACCAAUGUUUAAUGCUGGGAACAAAAAACUUUGGGGUCAUCUAGCCCCCACCUGACUUCAAGCUGGAGGAGCAUGAAGUCAGGGCAGCCGCCUGCUAGGGGAGGGGCAUUUCCCUGUUCUGGGGGUGGCCGUGCAGGAGCUGGGUUUCUGUUAUCUUUCGUUCGUGGUCAGAGGAACCCUUCUAAGAUGUCACCAGAGUUAUUUUGCAUUAUUUUAGCAGUGACUUAGGCUGAUGCUACCUUCAAAUACCUCAAUAUCUAGUUUGCCACCGAAUUCUGAAGGAUUUCUUUGGAAAACCAAGAAGUUUUUCCUUCGAUAUUUUGCCCUUUGGCACUGGAUCAAACCUCUCCAAGUUCAUUUCCUGACCUCCUCCUCUUCCACCUAGGUUCCUGGGAGGCUUCGGUGAGCUAACGUAUGUAACAUACGUCCCCAGAGUAAGCGCUCAGUAGAUACUGGCUUCCACUUCCUCUGGGUCCGCACGUUCCCUGAACUUUCUUCCGCCUGGGAUGGCGAAUGAUUGCGUG